Molecule: ribosomal RNA, 253 nt
Filed under: uncultured bacterium
Lineage: Bacteria
Description: partial 16S ribosomal RNA
Rfam family: Bacterial small subunit ribosomal RNA
Source: RNAcentral
UACAGAGGUCCCAAGCGUUGUUCGGAUUCAUUGGGCGUAAAGGGUGCGUAGGUGGCGUCGUAAGUCGGGUGUGAAAUUUCGGAGCUCAACUCCGAAACUGCAUUCGAUACUGCGGUGCUUGAGGACUGGAGAGGAGACUGGAAUUCAUGGUGUAGCAGUGAAAUGCGUAGAGAUCAUGAGGAAGACCAGUGGCGAAGGCGGGUCUCUGGACAGUUCCUGACACUGAGGCACGAAGGCCAGGGGAGCAAACGGG